AUUGAACGCUGGCGGCAGGCCUAACACAUGCAAGUCGAACGGUAACAGGAAACAGCUUGCUGUUUCGCUGACGAGUGGCGGACGGGUGAGUAAUGUCUGGGAAACUGCCUGAUGGAGGGGGAUAACUACUGGAAACGGUAGCUAAUACCGCAUAACGUCGCAAGACCAAAGAGGGGGACCUUCGGGCCUCUUGCCAUCGGAUGUGCCCAGAUGGGAUUAGCUAGUAGGUGGGGUAACGGCUCACCUAGGCGACGAUCCCUAGCUGGUAUGAGAGGCUGACAAGCCAAACUGGAACAGGGACACGGUCCAGACGCCUACGGGAGGCAGCAGUGGGGAAUAUUGCACAAUGGGCGCAAGGCUGAUGCAGCCAUGCCGCGUGUAUGAAGAAGGCCUUCGGGUUGUAAAGUACUUUCAGCGGGGAGGAAGGGAGUAAAGUUAAUACCUUUGCUCAUUGACGUUACCCGCAGAAGAAGCACCGGCUAACUCCGUGCCAGCAGCCGCAGUAA
This 506-nucleotide ribosomal RNA is filed under the name uncultured bacterium. RNAcentral's name for it is "partial 16S ribosomal RNA". It matches the Rfam family "Bacterial small subunit ribosomal RNA", at positions 30 to 523 of the family's 1533-position model. The record is from RNAcentral.